GUGUAAUUAGUUUUAUUGUAAUAUGUGUUUUAUUGUGGUGGUUUGGAAUUGAAAUUAAAAUAUUUUUGAGGUGUGUUUGGAUAAAAUUUAUGUAGAUUAUUUUAAAUAAUAUAUUAGUAAGUUAAAUUAGUAAAGUAGUGGAGAUUAAUAAUAUUUUUUGUAAUUUUUGUUAAAAAAAAAAUGAUUUAUUUUGUAUUUUGGUGUUUGGUGU
RNAcentral lists this unclassified non-coding RNA (211 nucleotides) under Hevea brasiliensis (rubber tree). The record is from RNAcentral. Lineage: Eukaryota; Viridiplantae; Streptophyta; Magnoliopsida; Malpighiales; Euphorbiaceae.